Molecule: ribosomal RNA, 209 nt
Filed under: uncultured bacterium
Lineage: Bacteria
Description: partial 16S ribosomal RNA
Rfam family: Bacterial small subunit ribosomal RNA
Source: RNAcentral
UUCGGAUCGCAGGCUGCAACCCGCCUGCGUGAAGUCGGAAUCGCUAGUAAUCGCGGAUCAGCAUGCCGCGGUGAAUACGUUCCCGGGCCUUGUACACACCGCCCGUCACACCAUGAGAGUCGGGAACACCCGAAGUCCGUAGCCUAACAGCAAUGAGGGCGCGGCCGAAGGUGGGUUCGAUAAUUGGGGUGAAGUCGUAACAAGGUACC